CUUAUCUCUUGCAAGUGCACAAUGUCUCUCUCUCUGUGUGUGUGUGUGUGUGUGUGUGGAUUCUGGGAAAUGUAGUUCGUGACGAGGAGUGACCGUGUUAUACAUUUACUUUGGCUGCAUGUUUUUGUUUGGCUUCUGAAGUAGAGCAAAGACUUGUGUAUUAUUAUUCCCUGAUCUAAUAACCUAUUCUUUCAUUGAUAAAAGCACUGGUUUUUAUACCGAAAUGCCAUGUGUCUUUUCAAGUAUAGAUGAAAGUGAAAGUAAUUUUCCUGGCUUAAUAUAGAGCUGCUCUCAGAAGACAAGACAUUCCCUGAAAAACUUUCAGAAAAAGCUAUAGGGACAGUAAAAAUAAAUAGACAUAUUUAUUAUUUAUCAAUGGAUAAAGAGGAUCAGUUUGAAUUUAAGGCCACAGAGAUCCCUCAAAAGCCAUGCACAGACAUGCUGAAGGAGGCCUAUCUGAACCUGCUCUCUCUGCGCCUGGAAUUCCAGCGUGAACAGAGCACUCCGGAGGAAGGAGCUUUCCAAACGAAUCUGGUUAAUAAAGAGAAAGACCUCAGUCUGCUCUAUGGAGCACAAAAUGUUUGUUAUUGUACACAGCUCCAGUGCUCUGCCCUCACGCAAUAAAGAUCUGCUGGUGUAUGUAGCACACAUUAUCCUGGAGGAAGAGAAGAGGCAGGGAGAGCCAGGAGCGAUGCAGGGAUGGAGGGAAGCAUGGAGGGAUGCAGUACUAAACGGGGUUCAAGAUACACUGGAGAAAGUUCAUCUGGACAGCCAUGAGCAGAACGCUUCCUGGCUGGCAGUGCAUCUGGGGCUUCUGGGUAAAGCUGUGGAGGAGGAUUUAGAGAGAGUGAAGACUGAACAUCAGACUUUAUUGUGUUUGAAACCUAUGUGUCCUGCUAUCAUGAGGCUGUAGGAGAGCAUCUAAAGAGACUUCUGGAAAAGGUGAUAGAGUGAAAGAUUACUAUGCUCUUCUAGAGUUCAUUAUUCAUCGCUACCCCAUUGAUCUGAGAGUCCAUGAGAGUGCCCUUAUAAUGGCAGAGGACCGGAACAAAAUAAAAACUUCUUACUGUGAUUGCCAAUUGGGACCAUCCUUAAAAUGGCUUUAUCCACUGGGAGAUUACCUUAGCAACAUUAUUGGAAUGGAAAAUGAGAAAAAUAUAAAAGAUAUGCACUGGUUAGUAAUUACCCAGACAUCAGGUAAGUGUUAUAGGAACUUUGAAUAUAUUGCUAUUUUUACAACAAUACAUGUUUUGUACACUUAACUAUUACAUGUAGUAUAGUUAUCAUGUAUUUAACUUUUCAUUUCUAGCAAGAAGCAGUUGUCAGCUGUUCUGUCCUUCAGAGACAAUGGUUUAAACUUUGAGAGUGACAAGAAGUGACAAGAAUCUGAUCACAUCACUGUACUGCCUUACUUAAGGAUACUUUAUAAAUACAUAUAUUUAUAUGUAUAUAGGCUGACAUGUAUUCUAAGUAUCUAAGUAUCACACUAUUAUGUUUACAGAGAUUCUCUUGGCCAUUCGGAUGCUUCGGGAACCAUCAGGAACUAUAAACAAUUGCAUUAUUUUAUGAGGCUACUUGUGCUAUUUGCCUCUAACCAUCCAUUAUUUUUUUAGCAAGAAUUUAACCAUUUAACUAUUAUUGUGCAGCCUUAUUUUGGUGUAUGUUUUGGUUGUUUGUACGUAUAUUUUCCAACAGAGGGAGACAUUAAACUAUAGAUGCAAAUUUCGCAUUUCCUCCAUAUUGCCUAAUCAUGCAUAAAGAGACUUGGUGGAUUCAGUCUAUCUACUGUUAUAUCAAUCAAUCAUCUAAAUGUGAAUUAUAAAACACAAUGCUGGACAAAACUGAGUGUGUGCUGUGCAAUAUUAACUCCAGGUGGACUCAGCUCUUGCAACAAAACCUAUUGGUUGGUUAUUCAUAUUUUGUCCCUCCCUCUUCUCUUGUUUAAUGCAAAUUUAAAAUUUUGCCUAAACCUAACAUUCUCUCUGAUUUUUAUCAAUGAACAAAACAUGUAGAUAAAAUUCAUUUUCACCGCUACAGUGUGUUAUUGAACAGAUAUUUACUUUUACAUACUUUCGCAAUGUUUUGGGGAUAUUUAUACAGAUAUUGAUGUGAGAUGCCAUCUUUGUUUACAUAAUCAUGUUUGAUUUUGUUUUAAUGACUUAACUAUAUGAGGUGGUGAAUUUAUUAAUGAAAUAAUUAUUAAACAUUUUACACAUUUCCACAUGCAAA
This is a long non-coding RNA of Cyprinus carpio carpio, 2229 nucleotides long. The record is from Ensembl. NCBI's taxonomy places the organism in Eukaryota, Metazoa, Chordata, Actinopteri, Cypriniformes, Cyprinidae.